Ruditapes philippinarum (Manila clam) is the source of this 3511-nucleotide long non-coding RNA. RefSeq lists it as uncharacterized. NCBI's taxonomy places the organism in Eukaryota, Metazoa, Mollusca, Bivalvia, Venerida, Veneridae. The transcript has 3 exons. The record is from RefSeq and is a predicted model, not a curated record.
AUAGUUCUAGUUAUAUAUUGUUGUUUAUUUGUAAACAUUUCAGAAGGAGUUUCGAGACCAUUUCUUAAACAUUACACGUAUUAUGGACUGUGUGGGUUGUGAUAAAUGUAAACUUUGGGGGAAACUGCAGGUUCAAGGUAUGGGAACUGCUUUAAAAAUUUUGUUUUCUGGAGAUGGAAUGGGACCACAGUCAAUUGUUAAAGCUGGAUUAAAAAACAAAUUCCAACUUAGAAGAACAGAAAUUGUUGCACUGUUUAAUGCAUUUGGCAGGUUAUCAUCCAGUAUUUAUUCCAUUGAACAAUUCCGUAUGCUGCUUAGAUGACUGCAAAGGAUUGCUGAUUUCAGAUCAAGUCAAGAAUCCUCAUUAUUCUGCCCUACAAUUGUGAAGAUGAAAUCAUCAGAUUUUGAAGCUAUCAACACCAGCUGUUAUCAAAAUUUACAUUUCUCUUCUAGAAUGAUGUAAUAGAGUUUGUCUGAAGACAUAAGUCUGAAGAAACAUACAUGCAGCUUUGACAUAAGUUAAUAUUGGGAUUUAAGGGUUUUUACAUGUGAACAGUAAAUGUGAAUUAAUCAAAUUUAAGGAAAUAUACAAAUGAUAAGAUUGUUACAUAUAUUUUUAUAUGCCUGAAAGAAUUUUGACGUAUAUUGUUAUGCACCUGGUUGUCUGUCCAUCCGCCCGUUUGUUAGCAGGUUUCUGUAUUUGGUCUGUACCUUUAGAACCAGUGGAAGGGAAUUAAAACUGCAUGGCAGAAAUGUUCACCAUAAUGAGAGCAGGUUUGACCUUUCUCAGUUUAAGGUCAAAGUCACACUUAGUAAAAACAAAAAAAGAUAUCUUCCUUAAAGAAAAAGAAACAACUAAAACAGCUUAAGCUUAGAUAUUUAGCAUUAAACAUCUUCUAGUAGGUGUCUACCAAGUUUGUUAAUCCCUUCCAGAAAGCAGUGAGGGGAUUAUAGGACAUAAAACUUUUGUGCCCGCUCAAUAACAUAACUUUUAAACCAGUGAAAGCUAAUCUAAUCAACUUGGCUCUAGUGAUAACCAAUAAUUGGGUUGCUACUCAUAAGGUCAAGGUCACACUUAAUGGUCAAAUGUUAAAAAGUCAACAUUUCAUGUCCGCUCCAUAACUUUUAAACCACUGAAAUUUUUUUUAAAUAACUUGGUACAAGUGAUCACCAUUAUAAGGCAAUGUGCAGAGCUCUUUAAUUGAGUUACUUCACCCAAGGUCAAGGUUACACUUUAAUUUCAAGUGUUAAAAAGUCUACAAUUUGUGUCCUCUCCAUAACAUUUUAACCGCUGAAAUUUUAUUUAAUUAUCUUAACACUAGUGAUUAUCCUUAUAAGAAGAUGUGCACUGUGCAAUAAUUGAAUUGCUACCCCCAAGGUCAAGGUCGCACUUAAAGGUCAAGUGUUUAAAUGUCUACUUUUUGUGUCUGCUCAAUUACAUUUAAACUGCUGCAAUGUUUUUAAGAUAACUUCGCAGAAAUAAUUGCCAUCAUGACACCAUGUGCAGAGCACAACAAUCAAGUCAUUACCCUCAAGGUCAGGGUCACACUCAAAUGUCCAAUGUUAAAACAUCUAGUUUUCAUGUCCGUUCUAUAAGUAAUUGACAAAAAAAUCAAAGGUUUUAAAAUUACUUGGCACAAAUGAUCCCCACCAUAAUCUGCAGGUUGCUUCCCUCGAGGGGAAUCCAGGUUGCUACCCCCAAAGUCAAGGUCACACUUAAAGAUCAAAUUAUAACAUUUUCCUGUCUAUUCCUUAACUAUUUAAAUACUGAAAAGUUUUUAAAAUGACGUUGCACAAAUGGUCACCAUAAUGAAAUGAUGUGUGGAGGUCUAGGUCACACAUAGAUGUCAAAAGAUAAAAGUCAACAAUUUUGUAUCCUCUUCAUAACUUUUUAACUACUGAAUUUUUUUAAUUAUAUUGGCAUAAUUGAUCACCAUCAUCACCUACAGAGGGCUUUAAAGUGACAAAGUACCGGUAUUAUAAGUUAUUACUAAAUAUCCAUGGAACAGCAAUUUUGCUUUAAGCAUGAUACAACGAAAUACGUAAGAAACUUGUCAAUAUAUGAAGUCUUAGUCCAAAACCUUGACCUACAAUUCAAACAAAAUAAUAUGAUCUACAAAGGUAUCCUUCUGAAAAUGGAAAAUAAUUGGUAAAGAACUGAAAUAGACUUUUGUAUAGACUUUUAUGAUGAGCAAAAUUUAAUGUGCUUAUGGCACAACAUCAAGGUUAUGGUUGGAAAUAGGUCAAGAAUUACAUAUUUUCGUGUCUGCUGCGAAAGGGAAUUUAGCUGUCUUUCAGACUGCCUUGUUCAUAUUAAAGCCCUGAGGUCAAAAUUGGCCCCGCCCAAGGGGUCAUUGAUUUUCCCUAUAAUUUUUUAUAUAGUAAAAAAACAAAACAAGAAAUUCAAAUACUCAAAGAGCUAGAGCUUUUAUAUUUAGCAUCACACAUCUUCUAGUUGAUGUCAACCAAGUUUGUUCAAAUAUAAGCCCUGGGGUCAAAAUUUGACCACAAGGGGGUAAUUGAUUUUUCUUAAAUGUAUUUAGGAAAAACAUAUAAAAAUCUUCAAAAUACCAAAGAGCAAGAGUGACAUGGUGAGCUUUUGUGAUCGCAAUUCGUCCGUCGUCCCUCCGUAAACUUAUUUAAACUUAUUUAAACAACAUCUCCUUAAACCGCUAUGCCAAUGUCAUCCAAACUUAACAGGAAUGUUCCUUCGGUCGCCACCUUUGAAAAUUGUUUAAAGAAUUGAAUUCCAUGCAAAAACUUAAAAAUCGUAUGAAAAGGUCAAAUACCUAGAGCUCAGAUAUUUAGCAUCUCCUACAAAGUUGUUGUGUUUUUUUUUUUUUCAAAUAAUAGCCCUGAGGUCAAAAUUGGGCUCCAAUGGGCAAUUUCUUUUCCUUUUAAUUAUAUAGGAAAAGCAAAACAAAAUAUUUGAAAAAACGCCAAAGAGCUAAGCAUGAGACAUUUUAUUGUGGAUGUCGACCAUGUUUGUUUAUGGAAAGCAUUGACUUUCUUAUGAAACGUUGUUGUGUCACUCUUUCUUUAUAAAAUGUGCAUUCAUGAAUAUAUUAUGUGGAUGCAUCCUUAUAUGAAUUCAACUGAACAAUAUAUGAUGUCAAUGUGUCUUAAUAUGAUGUCGGCAAUCAUUAUACGAUGUGCAUUUAUGAAUAUAUUAUGUGGUAGCAUCAUUAUAUAAAAUUAAUGUCAUUUUUUCAAUAUAUUAUGUCAAUUUUCAUUAUACGAUAUGAAUGUUUUAUUAUAUGAUGUGCAUUUAUUUAUAUAUUAUGUGGUAGCAUCAUUAUAUACUGUCAACUUAUCAAUAUAUUAUGUCAAUCUUUCAUUAUACGAUAUGAAUGUUUUAUUAUAUGAUGUGCAUUUAUUUAUAUAUUAUGUGGUAGCAUCAUUAUAUACUGUCAACUUAUCAAUAUGUUAUGUCAAUCUUUCAUAAGACGAUGUGAAUCUAUUAUUACACGACCGCUGCUUUAUAUGAAGUGCAACAUCAUUAUAUCCUGGC